UUGGGGGGGGGCGCAGUGGGGUAUUUUGCACAGUGGGCGAGAGCGUUAUCCACCCAUCCCGUGUGCGAGAAGAAGGCCUUGGGGUUGUAAAUUUUUUUUGUGGGGAAAAAAAAGCUCUUUUUAAUACCGGGGGAAAUGAGGGUACCGUAAGAAAAAGCCCCGGCAAAAUACGUCCCCGCAGCCGGGGUAAUAUGUGGGGCGCAAGCUUUUUUGGGAAUUUCUGGGUGUAAAGCGUGCGCGGGGGGUUUUAUAAGACAGAGGUGAAAUCCCGGGGCUCAACCUGGGAACCGCUUUUGAGACUGCAAGGCUGGAGUGGGGGAGGGGGGGGGGGAAUUCCGCGUGUAGCAGUGAAAUGUGUAGAUAUGGGGGGGAACACCGGGGGAGAAGGCCAUCCCCUGGCCCUGCACUGACGCUCAUGCAAGAAAGCGGGGGGAGCAAACAGGAUUAGAUACCCUGGUUGUCCACGCCCUAAACGAUGUCAACUGGUUGUUGGGUCUUCAACGACUCAGUAACGAAGCUAACGCGAGAAGUGACCGCCUGGAGACCC
RNAcentral lists this ribosomal RNA (547 nucleotides) under uncultured beta proteobacterium. RNAcentral's name for it is "partial 16S ribosomal RNA". It matches the Rfam family "Bacterial small subunit ribosomal RNA", at positions 339 to 882 of the family's 1533-position model. Lineage: Bacteria; Pseudomonadati; Pseudomonadota; Betaproteobacteria. The record is from RNAcentral.